UUGAAAAACCAGUUCCCGUAUGAUCACCGAAGUUAAGCAACGUCGAGCCUGGUCAGUACCUAGAAGGGUGACUGCUUGUAAGCUUGCGGGUGGUGC
Molecule: non-coding RNA, 96 nt
Organism: Acanthosepion pharaonis
Lineage: Eukaryota; Metazoa; Mollusca; Cephalopoda; Sepiida; Sepiidae
Source: the annotation of a GenBank genome assembly